GUCAUAAAUUCGGGUCAAUGACGCUUUAAUAAAAUUAGAAAUAAGUAACUUUGUGAUUCUCCUGUCAAAAGUUUUCUUUUAUAUGUUCAAUCGCAAAAUGCAUAUGUUGAAUGUACCUUAUGCCUAGAAGAGAUUGCUUAAUUUAUGUUUUAGCGUUUUAAUCCUAAGGAGCAAAAAAAUUUCGUGACAUGUUUUUCAUUCAAUUAGUUAAAUUUCUAAAAAAUCCAAACAAAAUUUACCAAAUUUGCCAUUGGAAUUGUACGGUAAAUGCCUUAUUUCUGUAUCGGUUUCCCAGGAAUAUAAGUGAUUAGACAUUUCGUUUAAAGAUAAAAAGUCUUAGACUAGGUUACUAAAUAUAUUUUAUUCAAAAUAUUUGUUCCAGCAAUCAAUAAUCUCAUUAUAGCCAUU
This is a non-coding RNA of Cinara cedri, 408 nucleotides long. The record is from the annotation of a GenBank genome assembly. NCBI's taxonomy places the organism in Eukaryota, Metazoa, Arthropoda, Insecta, Hemiptera, Aphididae.